This 1677-nucleotide unclassified non-coding RNA is filed under the name Zea mays. RNAcentral's name for it is "misc RNA Zm00001eb184270". Lineage: Eukaryota; Viridiplantae; Streptophyta; Magnoliopsida; Poales; Poaceae. The record is from RNAcentral.
GUUCAUCUCCGGGAGAUUUUUCCCCCCGCUGCUGCCUCCCAGAUUUUUCUCCCUUGGAUUCUUAUCUGUCGCCGCCCCUUGAUUUUUCUACACGCGCCGUCAUUAUCUCCAGCUGUGGAGCUUCUUCUCCCUGGCUGCGUCUCCCUCCCUCUCCCUCGUGUCUUCUUCUCCCUGCUCGCUGGCGUUCCUCCAGCUCCCUGCUCACUCCUCUUCUUCUCCCACGCACGCACAGGCUCCUCCCUCUGCGCAUCUCCCUGCGUCCGGUCGAGUUCUCCACACCGCGCUCCACUGCUCGGCCAACCGCUGCCCAAGUCCGGCCAGCCGAAGUGCUCCAUCUCCCAGCUCGCGGAGCUCCCUGGCUGGCGCGCCGACUUGGAGCUCGCCAUGGACGUUGGCCACCGCUGCAUGCUCGCCACGGCCUCCCAGCUCCUCCCAGCCGCCCCUCCUCCCUCUACUCUCUGCGUGCUUCUCUCCCUCUCUCCCCUUCUCCCUACUGCACGCGUUGGAUCUCAGCUCACGGAGCUCUCUCUUCUGUCUUUCAUGGCGAACGCCUGCUUCCCCUGCUCGGAUUUCGUCUGUGCCCCGGGCUCCAUGGCGUCCCCGCCUCCAUGCUAGUCCCAGCCGAGCUCUCCCUCUCCCUGGUCCCUUCUCUGCGUGCCCUGGUACUCGCUCGCUGCUGCGCUCGCUCUCCCCUGCCUGCUCGAGUUCGCCCCCAGCUCCUGACCAUGGAGCUUCGCCCCGGCGGCCUCUUCUUUCCGGCGGCCGGUCGGAGUUUCCUCUGCGCUUGUCCUGGCAGUCGCGCCAUGGCCAGCUCCUCUACUCGGCCUUGUCCUUGUUUUUCUUCCCUUCAUGACCUGCCGAGGCUCCCUCCCCAGCUACGUCUGUGGUCAUCGGGCAUGUCAGCUGCCGCAGGCUCGCCUCACCCGGCUUCGUCACCAGUCUUCGCUCGACGCGUCCUUAUACUCAACAUGGGGUUUCUCUGCUAUAACAUUGGCUCGCCGUGGCCUGGUCGAUUUGUCCUCAGUGUCGCGCCAGCCGUGCAGAUCUUUCCAUCGCGUUCGAACCUCGCUAUCGGCCCACCGCUCUCGUCGCCAUGAAGACUAUGCAACAGCGCUUGGUCUCAAUGGUCUGUUGAUCUGCAUAGGUGGUGGUUUGGUUAAGAGUGGUGUUGAUAGAAGCAGAAAAUGAAUUUUGUGUAAGGCUCGCCUGGUGCUCGACGAAACGCCUCACCCACGAAAGCAUCGUCGUUUUUGGAAACUUUCGCAUCGGUACGUUAAUUGACUACGUGAUAUGGAGGACCAAAGCUGAGCCGAUCACAAGAUGAUGUUAAGCGUGGGCUUCUCCACAAGGUGAUGCUGGUGGAUCAACCUGAAAAUGGGCAGACUGAACAAGUGUCAACACAAAAGGCUAGUCGCCAAGUGGUCGCCAUCUAACAAACACUAACGUAGUGUUUAUUCCAGGUACUAGAUUUGUGAUGCUGUGGAUGGUGUUAAGCGCCGGUGGGCACGACCUUCUUAUAGGUUAAAGUAGCUCUUCUAUACUUCUUAUUGAGGAUUGUCAUGGAGCUAGCAUAUAUUUCAAACUUAUAAAUAAUUUAUAACAUUUCAAAGUUUAUUUAUUUGAAUCACUUUUUAAUCACUCCGAUAAAUAAAAUGUAAAUUUGUUGUAACUUGGAAC